GAUUUUAAGCUUCUACGGGAGGCUGCAGUGGGGAAUAUUGGACAAUGGGCGCAAGCCUGAUCCAGCCAUACCGCGUGGGUGAAGAAGGCCUUCGGGUUGUAAAGCCCUUUUGUUGGGAAAGAAAUCCAACUGGUUAAUACCCGGUUGGGAUGACGGUACCCAAAGAAUAAGCACCGGCUAACUUCGUGCCAGCAGCCGCGGUAAUACGAAGGGUGCAAGCGUUACUCGGAAUUACUGGGCGUAAAGCGUGCGUAGGUGGUUAUUUAAGUCCGUUGUGAAAGCCCUGGGCUCAACCUGGGAACUGCAGUGGAUACUGGAUGACUAGAAUGUGGUAGAGGGUAGCGGAAUUCCUGGUGUAGCAGUGAAAUGCGUAGAGAUCAGGAGGAACAUCCAUGGCGAAGGCAGCUACCUGGACCAACAUUGACACUGAGGCACGAAAGCGUGGGGAGCAAACAGGAUUAGAUACCCUUGUAGUCGAA
This 479-nucleotide ribosomal RNA is filed under the name uncultured bacterium. Its description in RNAcentral is "bacterial SSU rRNA". It matches the Rfam family "Bacterial small subunit ribosomal RNA", at positions 327 to 798 of the family's 1533-position model. The record is from RNAcentral.